This 427-nucleotide ribosomal RNA is filed under the name uncultured bacterium. Its description in RNAcentral is "partial 16S ribosomal RNA". It matches the Rfam family "Bacterial small subunit ribosomal RNA", at positions 355 to 774 of the family's 1533-position model. The record is from RNAcentral.
UGGGGAAUAUUGCACAAUGGGCGCAAGCCUGAUGCAGCCAUGCCGCGUGUAUGAAGAAGGCCUUCGGGUUGUAAAGUACUUUCAGCGGGGAGGAAGGCGAUAAGGUUAAUAACCUUGUCGAUUGACGUUACCCGCAGAAGAAGCACCGGCUAACUCCGUGCCAGCAGCCGCGGUAAUACGGAGGGAGCAAGCGUUAAUCGGAAUUACUGGGCGUAAAGCGCACGCAGGCGGUCUGUCAAGUCGGAUGUGAAAUCCCCGGGCUCAACCUGGGAACUGCAUUCGAAACUGGCAGGCUAGAGUCUUGUAGAGGGGGGUAGAAUUCCAGGUGUAGCGGUGAAAUGCGUAGAGAUCUGGAGGAAUACCGGUGGCGAAGGCGGCCCCCUGGACAAAGACUGACGCUCAGGUGCGAAAGCGUGGGGAGCAAACA